GAUGAAGAACGCAGCGAAAUGCGAUAAGUAGUGUGAAUUGCAGAAUUCAGUGAAUCAUCGAAUCUUUGAACGCACAUUGCGCCCCUUGGUAUCCCGAGGGGCAUGCCUGUUCGAGCGUCAUUUCACCACUCAAGCCUGGCUUGGUGUUGGGCGACGUCCCCUUUGGGGACGCGCCUCGAAACGCUCGGCGGCGUGGCACCGGCUUUAAGCGUAGCAGAAUCUUUCGCUUUGGAAGUCGGGGCCCCGUCUGCCGGAAGACCUACUCGCAAGGUUGACCUCGGAUCAGGUAGGGAUACCCGCUGAACUUAAGCAUAUCAAUAAGCGGAGGGA
RNAcentral lists this unclassified non-coding RNA (330 nucleotides) under soil metagenome. RNAcentral's name for it is "partial contains 5.8S ribosomal RNA, internal transcribed spacer 2, and large subunit ribosomal RNA". The stretch from base 1 to 120 matches the Rfam family "5.8S ribosomal RNA", at positions 35 to 154 of the family's 154-position model. The record is from RNAcentral.